UGUCCGGUGGUGUAAUGGUAGCACAGAUGGUUUUGGUCCAUCCAGUUGGGGUUCGAAUCCCUGCCGGACAGCCA
This 74-nucleotide transfer RNA is filed under the name Verrucomicrobiales bacterium. Its description in RNAcentral is "tRNA-Gln". It matches the Rfam family "tRNA". From Rfam's summary of the family: Transfer RNA (tRNA) molecules are approximately 80 nucleotides in length. Their secondary structure includes four short double-helical elements and three loops (D, anti-codon, and T loops). Further hydrogen bonds mediate the characteristic L-shaped molecular structure. tRNAs have two regions of fundamental functional importance: the anti-codon, which is responsible for specific mRNA codon recognition, and the 3' end, to which the tRNAs corresponding amino acid is attached (by aminoacyl-tRNA synthetases). tRNAs cope with the degeneracy of the genetic code in two manners: having more than one tRNA (with a specific anti-codon) for a particular amino acid; and 'wobble' base-pairing, i.e. permitting non-standard base-pairing at the 3rd anti-codon position. Lineage: Bacteria; Pseudomonadati; Verrucomicrobiota; Verrucomicrobiia; Verrucomicrobiales. The record is from RNAcentral.